GCGGUUUCUCCUUUUACUACAAGACGACUACACGAGUUUAACUCACGAGUCUCCUUUCUCUCCGAUUACAAAAUUUUCAACGUAUACUAUUUCGAUCCACCUACACACCGAAGGACCUGUAUGUAUUUGGUUGACGGCUUUCCAGGGAUGACCCACCCCUCUCCGCACCAUUCGCCGCACCGUCGCUUACAGGGAUUUCCUCGAAAAUGGCGCUUUUUAUUACGGGAUUCUUUCCGACUAUAUUAACGACAAAUUUUUUCCAAGAUAUAUAUAUUUUUUCAAGCCUUUGGUCCUUGUCAUCUUUGUAAUCGCAGUCAUCGAUCGUCAUCUUCGUCGUGUCAUCCGCGUCGCUUUAAUUGCUCGUGCUACUUAUGGAAAAA
This 380-nucleotide long non-coding RNA is filed under the name Polistes fuscatus (common paper wasp). Its description in RNAcentral is "uncharacterized LOC122520276". Lineage: Eukaryota; Metazoa; Arthropoda; Insecta; Hymenoptera; Vespidae. The record is from RNAcentral.